CUGACACCUCGCUCAGCCUGGCUCGGGCCUGAGCAGAGGACUCACUGAGCCACCCCGGCCACACUCACUAUUGAGAAGUAAGAGCCCCAGGAAUGACGUUUCUGACAUUACAAAAGAAAGAGCAUGCCAGGCAUUGGCAAGGAGGGAAGCAGCUGCCACUCACUCCCUUGCUUGGGGGAGGGUGAAAUGACCAGCCACUCUGGGAAGCAGUUUCACCAAGUCCUAAAAGGUAGAGCACUGCAGCAGUAACGUGACGCCAUCACAGACAGAUCAGAACGUCCAAACUCCGAAACACCGACAGCACCUCACCUCAUGGCGAGGCCGUGAGCAGCGAGGCGCCCACACUUUGCUGGUGGGAAAGCACAUGGCACCGUCCCUCCGGAGGGAGAGCUCAGAGGUUCCCUGCCAACGGCGCGUCCUCUUAGCAGAUCAUCCAGCUGUCUCAGCACUUGCUUGGCCUUUACCUGCAGGCCCAUGUCUUCAGCUUUGCACAUGAUUGCUAAAGCUCGAACCCCCCAAACAUCCCUCAGCAGGAGAGUGGGUAAGCUGUGGUAGAUCCAGACAAUGGAAAGUCCUUCAGCACCAAAUGAAAUGAGCCAUCGGGCCACGAAAAGAAGGGGAGGAAACUCAAAUGCAUGUUCUCCAGUGGAAGAAAGCAGUCUGGGAAGACUACAUAGCUCGUGAGUCCAGCUACAUGGUGCCCUGUGAGCGCCAAGGUCACGAGGAAAAGGAAAAGCCAAGUAGUUGCCGGGCCAGGCAGCAUGGAGGGUGGGUGAGUAUGAAGGGUGUGACAGCGUCAGCUGUUCUGGGUGAUACUGCAAGUGUGGGUCCAGAUCAUGGUGCCUUAGUCAGCCCCACAGAACCUUCAGCACCAAGAGGGACCCCGCCUGGAAGGCUCAGGGUGACACGGUGCGUCACUGUAGAUGACGGGUCCUGCUCUGCUUGCUACAGUCCUGGGCACUGACCGUAGGGAAGGCCAUGUGAGUGUGGGGUGGGGUGUUGGGCGAGCUCUAUUCUUUCUACUUAGAUUUACUAUGAACCAAAAACUAUCUAAUAACCAAAUCUAAUUUUUUUUUAAAAAAAGUUAAACAUUUACAUCUUUAUGAUCCAGCAGCUCCACUCCUGGGGUCACACAAAAGGCUGGACAUAGAGGUCAGAGCAACUCUGACCGCAAUGGCUAAACACUGCAGACCACCCAGGCACCCUCCAGCAGGUGACCAG
Molecule: long non-coding RNA, 1221 nt
Filed under: Marmota monax (woodchuck)
Lineage: Eukaryota; Metazoa; Chordata; Mammalia; Rodentia; Sciuridae
Source: RNAcentral